AUUGAACGCUGGCGGCAUGCCUUACACAUGCAAGUCGAACGGUAACGGGCCUUCGGGUGCCGACGAGUGGCGCACGGGUGAGUAAUACAUCGGAACGUGCCCGAUCGUGGGGGAUAACGUGGCGAAAGCUUUGCUAAUACCGCAUACGAUCUACGGAUGAAAGCAGGGGACCGCAAGGCCUUGCGCGGACGGAGCGGCCGAUGGCAGAUUGGGUAGUUGGUGGGAUAAGAGCUUACCAAGCCGACGAUCUGUAGCUGGUCUGAGAGGAUGAUCAGCCACACUGGGACUGAGACACGGCCCAGACUCCUACGGGAGGCAGCAGUGGGGAAUUUUGGACAAUGGGCGCAAGCCUGAUCCAGCCAUGCCGCGUGCAGGAUGAAGGCCUUCGGGUUGUAAACUGCUUUUGUACGGAACGAAAAGCCUCUUUUAAUACAGGAGGGUCAUGACGGUACCGUAAGAAUAAGCACCGGCUAACUACGUG
This 481-nucleotide ribosomal RNA is filed under the name uncultured bacterium. Its description in RNAcentral is "partial 16S ribosomal RNA". It matches the Rfam family "Bacterial small subunit ribosomal RNA", at positions 30 to 507 of the family's 1533-position model. The record is from RNAcentral.